AUGCGUAGGGGUUCUGAGAGGAAGGUCCCCCACACUGGUACUGAGACACGGACCAGACUCCUACGGGAGGCAGCAGUGAGGAAUAUUGGUCAAUGGCCGGGAGGCUGAACCAGCCAAGUCGCGUGAGGGAAGACGGCCCUACGGGUUGUAAACCUCUUUUGUCAGGGAGCAAGAGGCGGGUCGAGACCUGCUGUGAGAGUACCUGAAGAAAAAGCAUCGGCUAACUCCGUGCCAGCAGCCGCGGUAAUACGGAGGAUGCGAGCGUUAUCCGGAUUUAUUGGGUUUAAAGGGUGCGCAGGCGGAGGCACAAGUCAGCGGUAAAAUCGCGGGGCUCAACCCCGCUCCGCCGUUGAAACUGUGUCCCUUGAGUGCGCGAAGGGUAGGCGGAAUGCGUGGUGUAGCGGUGAAAUGCAUAGAUAUCACGCAGAACUCCGAUCGCGAAGGCAGCCUACCGGCGCGCAACUGACGCUCAUGCACGAAAGCGUGGGUAUCGAACAGGAUUAGAUACCCUGGUAGUCCACGCAGUAAACGAUGAAUGCUAUCUGUCCGGCCGGAAUGACGGCUGG
This 566-nucleotide ribosomal RNA is filed under the name uncultured bacterium. Its description in RNAcentral is "bacterial SSU rRNA". It matches the Rfam family "Bacterial small subunit ribosomal RNA", at positions 279 to 842 of the family's 1533-position model. The record is from RNAcentral.